Molecule: ribosomal RNA, 398 nt
Filed under: uncultured bacterium
Lineage: Bacteria
Description: bacterial SSU rRNA
Rfam family: Bacterial small subunit ribosomal RNA
Source: RNAcentral
AAUCAACGCUGGCGGCGUGCCUAACACAUGCAAGUCGAACGCGAAAGCCCCGCAAGGGGCAAGUAGAGUGGCAAACGGGUGAGUAACACGUGGGUGACCUGCCUUCGAGCGGGGGAUAACGUCCCGAAAGGGACGCUAAUACCGCAUAACAUCCUGCCUUUGAAGAGGCGGAGAUCAAAGCUGGGGAUCGCAAGACCUGGCACUUGAAGAGGGGCCCGCGUCUGAUUAGCAGUUGGUGGGGUAAUGGCCUACCAAGGCAACGAUCAGUAUCCGGCCUGAGAGGGCGGACGGACACACUGGGACUGAGACACGGCCCAGACUCCUACGGGAGGCAGCAGUGGGGAAUUGUUCGCAAUGGGCGCAAGCCUGACGACGCAACGCCGCGUGGAGGAUGAAGA